This 238-nucleotide ribosomal RNA is filed under the name uncultured bacterium. Its description in RNAcentral is "partial 16S ribosomal RNA". It matches the Rfam family "Bacterial small subunit ribosomal RNA", at positions 81 to 334 of the family's 1533-position model. The record is from RNAcentral.
AGUUUUUAACUCAAGUGGCGGACGGGUGAGUAACACGUAAGAAUUUGCCUUUAGGAGGGGGAUAACAACUGGAAACGGUUGCUAGUACCCCAUAUGCUUUCGAGUGAAAUGGAUUUUUCCGCCUAGAGAGAAGCUUGCGGCUGAUUAGCUUGUUGGUAAGGUAAUGGCUUACCAAGGCGACGAUCAGUAUCUGGUUUGAGAGGACGAUCAGACACACUGGAACUGAGACACGGCCCAG